ACCCUCCAUUCUCCACACGUCACAUGGUACAGUGAUCGAGCUUCUCUCCUUCCCAUUACCACACGUCCUCUGGUUUAGCACCCUCACCCUGCACGUGAACGCUCGUUUGCUCCCUAGCGCCGCCGUCACUGGCACUUUAUCCUUCAUCACCAGCCACACCACCACCUCUCCUCUUCCUUCUCCUCCUCCGUCUACCAUCUUCCUAUACGCCUCGUUCGUCCACGUUAUCGUUCCAAAACCAUCAGAUAUCAUCCCGGGACACGUGUCCCUCUCCAGAUUCAUCCUUCUCUCCUCGUCCGUACAGCCCAAUUCAUCCGCAUCCACCCACGCGUCCGUAAUACAUUCCACUGUUACGCAUGACCCAAUAACCACCCUCAUCACCUGAGGCAUCACAACCGUAUAAUCUGACAUGGCAAAACCUCCGGAUAUCACCAUCCCAUCAUGACNNNNNNNNNNGAAACUAAGCCAGGUGGGAACGCUCUUUGCUUGCUUUGGUGAAAACAAGCCUACCGGUGUUUCCCUUUCGGAAGUGUCCUUACGGUCAGGAGUCUCCGGUAGGAGAGGCAGAGUCACCACCGCAUACCCCUUCUCCUCGCUCAAACCCUUUCUUUUCUUAGUAUUGCUGCCAUUAUUACACCUCUUACUAUUAUUCCCGUUUGCGGUGCUAAACCUUCUCUUUCCUCUGCCAGACCUGGGACUGACCUCACUAAUCUCCGGGGAUAACCCACAUGAGGCUGAACAGACGUUGGCCGGUUUGGGGGCAAUCGGCCGGAAUCUCAUCAUUAUCCGAUUAACUUUCGACAUAUCAUAUACACCCCCACCGUACCUCGCUAUGCAGCAACCUCCCCUACCGUCCAUUUUGCACUUUUCCUCUCUCUAAAACCCUGACUCCCUGUCUCUCCGUCCUCCCCUCACCUACUCCGAUCUCUCUCUCUACUUUUUGCCUUCCUUUCACUUAACAAUGAGAGGC
Molecule: unclassified non-coding RNA, 970 nt
Filed under: Hevea brasiliensis (rubber tree)
Lineage: Eukaryota; Viridiplantae; Streptophyta; Magnoliopsida; Malpighiales; Euphorbiaceae
Source: RNAcentral